UAGGGAAUUUUCGUCAAUGGGCGCAAGCCUGAACGAGCAAUGCCGCGUGAACGAGGAAGGUCUUCGGAUCGUAAAGUUCUGUUGAAAGGGGGAAAAAGAGCGGAGAGAGGAAAUGGUCUCCGAUUGAUAUUACCCUUCGAGGAAGUCACGGCUAACUACGUGCC
This 164-nucleotide ribosomal RNA is filed under the name uncultured bacterium. RNAcentral describes it as "partial 16S ribosomal RNA". It matches the Rfam family "Bacterial small subunit ribosomal RNA", at positions 355 to 509 of the family's 1533-position model. The record is from RNAcentral.